Molecule: ribosomal RNA, 253 nt
Filed under: uncultured bacterium
Lineage: Bacteria
Description: partial 16S ribosomal RNA
Rfam family: Bacterial small subunit ribosomal RNA
Source: RNAcentral
UACGUAGGGGGCAAGCGUUAUCCGGAUUUACUGGGUGUAAAGGGAGCGUAGACGGUUGAAUAAGUCUGAAGUGAAAGCCCGGGGCCCAACCCCGGGACUGCUUUGGAAACUGUAUAACUUGAGUACAGGAGGGGCAGGCGGAAUUCCUGGUGUAGCGGUGAAAUGCGUAGAUAUCAGGAGGAACACCGGCGGCGAAGGCGGCCUGCUGGACUGAAACUGACGUUGAGGCUCGAAAGCGUGGGGAGCAAACAGG